CGGGGUGAGCAAAGGAACAGGGGCAGCGAAAACCGGGCGGUCUUGGAUAAGAGUCGGAGGAGAAGGAGAAGAGUUAAGGCUAGCGACGACCGAAGGCCGCAAUGUAGGUCGUCGACGAGCGGAAAAAGAGGAGGUGGUGGUGGAGGAAGAAGAGGAGGUAAGGCACCAACCGUUGAUGGAAGCCGUCGACAUUGCCACGCAAAAUGAUGGAUACAAUUUACUUGGAAAUAUAUAUUAUAAUUUUCAUCACAUAUAAAAUUCUUCAAUGUCUUCAAAACCGAUAAUGAAAGCGAAAGGUUGGU
This 302-nucleotide long non-coding RNA is filed under the name Gossypium barbadense (sea-island cotton). RNAcentral describes it as "long non-coding RNA (GBAR_LNC007962)". Lineage: Eukaryota; Viridiplantae; Streptophyta; Magnoliopsida; Malvales; Malvaceae. The record is from RNAcentral.